AAGUCGUAACAAGGUAACCGUAGGUGAACCUGCGGUUGGAUCAUUAAAAAGAUCUAGCCCGAUUUUGCACCUGGCCUUGAGCUGGUGGAAUGACAGGCUUUUCUCACGUACGUGAGUCAACAUCAUGUGAACUGUUUUGUCUCUGGCGGUGGGAUGGCUCAAAACCGUCUGUCAGCAUCCGAGGUAAUCUCGGUGUGCCGUGGACAAGCCGCCAACGGUGUAUGUUUCAUACAAACUUUUUGUUUCUUUAAAACUGUCUGACCUACUUUUGUAUCUAAAUAAUACAAAAACAACUUUUGGCAACGGAUCUCUUGGCUCCC
Molecule: unclassified non-coding RNA, 320 nt
Filed under: fungal sp.
Lineage: Eukaryota; Fungi
Also listed under: 1 other name
Description: partial internal transcribed spacer region
Rfam family: Eukaryotic small subunit ribosomal RNA (bases 1-46)
Source: RNAcentral